CCUACGGGAGGCAGCAGUGAGGAAUAUUGGUCAAUGGACGAGAGUCUGAACCAGCCAAGUAGCGUGAAGGAUGACUGCCCUAUGGGUUGUAAACUUCUUUUAUAUGGGAAUAAAAUGUUCCACGUGUGGGAUUUUGUAUGUACCAUAUGAAUAAGGAUCGGCUAACUCAGUGCCAGCAGCCGCGGUAAUACGGAGGAGCCGAGCGUUAUCCGGAUUUAUUGGGUUUAAAGGGAGCGUAGGUGGAUGGUUAAGUCAGUUGUGAAAGUUUGCGGCUCAACCGUAAAAUUGCAGUUGAAACUGGCAGUCUUGAGUACAGUAGAGGUGGGCGGAAUUCGUGGUGUAGCGGUGAAAUGCGUAGAUAUCACGAAGAACUCCGAUUGCGAAGGCAGUUCACUGGACUGCAACUGACACUGAGGCUCGAAAGUGUGGGUAUCAAACAGGAUUAGAUACCCCAGUAGUC
RNAcentral lists this ribosomal RNA (460 nucleotides) under uncultured bacterium. RNAcentral's name for it is "partial 16S ribosomal RNA". It matches the Rfam family "Bacterial small subunit ribosomal RNA", at positions 338 to 795 of the family's 1533-position model. The record is from RNAcentral.